This 406-nucleotide ribosomal RNA is filed under the name uncultured bacterium. Its description in RNAcentral is "partial 16S ribosomal RNA". It matches the Rfam family "Bacterial small subunit ribosomal RNA", at positions 30 to 526 of the family's 1533-position model. The record is from RNAcentral.
AUUGAACGCUGGCGGCAGGCCUAACACAUGCAAGUCGAACGAGUGGCGGACGGGUGAGUAAUGUCUGGGACACUGCCCGAUGGCGGGGGAUAACUACUGGAAACGGUAGCUAAUACCGCAUACCAUCGGAUGUGCCCAGAUUGGAUUAGCUAGUAGGUGGGGUAACGGCUCACCUAGUCGACGAUCCCUAGCUGGUCUGAGAGGAUGACUAGCCACAGUGGAACUGGGAAACGGUCCAAACUCCUACGUGAGUCAGCAGUGUGGAAUAUUUCACAAUGGGCGCAAGCCUGAUGCAGCCAUGCCGCGUGUGUGAAGAAGGCCUUCGGGUUGUAAAGUACUUUCAGCGAGGAGGCGUGACUCGCAGAAGAAGCACCGGCUAACUCCGUGCCAGCAGCCGCGGUAAUUC